This 457-nucleotide ribosomal RNA is filed under the name uncultured bacterium. RNAcentral's name for it is "bacterial SSU rRNA". It matches the Rfam family "Bacterial small subunit ribosomal RNA", at positions 340 to 789 of the family's 1533-position model. The record is from RNAcentral.
UACGGGAGGCAGCAGUGGGGAAUAUUGCACAAUGGGCGAAAGCCUGAUGCAGCUAUGCCGCGUGUAUGAAGAAGGCCUUAGGGUUGUAAAGUACUUUCAUCGGGGAGGAAAAAACAAAACUAAUAAUUUUAUUUCUUGACGUUACCCGAAAAAGAAGCACCGGCUAACUCCGUGCCAGCAGCCGCGGUAAUACGGAGGGUGCUAGCGUUAAUCAGAAUUACUGGGCGUAAAGAGCACGUAGGUGGUUUUUUUAAGUCAGAUGUGAAAUCCCUGGGCUUAACCUAGGAACUGCAUUUUGAAACUGAAAUACUAGAGUAUCGUAGAGGGAGGUAGAAUUCUAGGUGUAGCGGUGAAAUGCGUAGAUAUCUGGAGGAAUACCUGUGGCGAAAGCGGCCCUAACGAAUACUGACACUGAGGUGCGAAAGCGUGGGGAGGCAAACAGGGAUUAGAUACCCGU